RNAcentral lists this ribosomal RNA (2913 nucleotides) under Aeromonas hydrophila. RNAcentral describes it as "23S ribosomal RNA". It matches the Rfam family "Bacterial large subunit ribosomal RNA". The record is from RNAcentral. Lineage: Bacteria; Pseudomonadati; Pseudomonadota; Gammaproteobacteria; Aeromonadales; Aeromonadaceae.
GUUGUAUGGUUAAGUGACUAAGCGUACAUGGUGGAUGCCUUGGCAGUCAGAGGCGAUGAAGGACGUACUAACCUGCGAUAAGCCGUGAGCAGUCGGUAAGAGACAUUACGACUCACGGAUUUCCGAAUGGGGAAACCCACUUAGCAUAAGCUAGGUAUCGCUACGUGAAUACAUAGCGUAGCGAGGCGAACCGGGAGAACUGAAACAUCUAAGUACCCCGAGGAAAAGAAAUCAACCGAGAUUCCCUCAGUAGCGGCGAGCGAACGGGGAUUAGCCCUUAAGCAUCUUGGAAGUUAGUGGAACGGUCCUGGAAAGGCCGGCGAUACAGGGUGAUAGCCCCGUACACGAAAACAACCUUGAUGUGAAAUCGAGUAGGGCGGGACACGUGACAUCCUGUCUGAAUAUGGGGGGACCAUCCUCCAAGGCUAAAUACUCCUGACUGACCGAUAGUGAACCAGUACCGUGAGGGAAAGGCGAAAAGAACCCCUGUGAGGGGAGUGAAAUAGAACCUGAAACCGUGUACGUACAAGCAGUGGGAGCCCUUCGGGGUGACUGCGUACCUUUUGUAUAAUGGGUCAGCGACUUACAUUUUGUAGCGAGGUUAACCGUAUAGGGGAGCCGUAGGGAAACCGAGUCUUAACUGGGCGUCUAGUUGCAAGGUGUAGACCCGAAACCGGGUGAUCUAGCCAUGGGCAGGUUGAAGGUUGAGUAACAUCAACUGGAGGACCGAACCCACUAACGUUGCAAAGUUAGGGGAUGACCUGUGGCUGGGGGUGAAAGGCCAAUCAAACUCGGAGAUAGCUGGUUCUCCCCGAAAGCUAUUUAGGUAGCGCCUCGGACGAAUACUACUGGGGUAGAGCACUGUUUGGGCUAGGGGGUCAUCCCGACUUACCAACCCCAUGCAAACUCCGAAUACCAGUAAGUAAUAUCCGGGAGACACACGGCGGGUGCUAACGUCCGUCGUGAAGAGGGAAACAACCCAGACCGCCGGCUAAGGUCCCAAAGUUCUGGUUAAGUGGGAAACGAUGUGGGAAGGCUCAGACAGCUAGGAUGUUGGCUUAGAAGCAGCCAUCAUUUAAAGAAAGCGUAAUAGCUCACUAGUCGAGUCGGCCUGCGCGGAAGAUGUAACGGGGCUCAAACCAGGCACCGAAGCCGCGGAUUCACGCUAAGCGUGAGUGGUAGGGGAGCGUUCUGUAAGUCUGCGAAGGUGUGUCGAGAGGCAUGCUGGAGAUAUCAGAAGUGCGAAUGCUGACGUAAGUAACGAUAAAGGGGGUGAAAAGCCUCCUCGCCGGAAGACCAAGGGUUCCUGUCCAACGUUAAUCGGGGCAGGGUGAGUCGACCCCUAAGGCGAGGCCGAAAGGCGUAGUCGAUGGGAAGCAGGUUAAUAUUCCUGCACGACUUGUAAUUGCGAUGGGGGACGGAGAAGGCUAGGUGGGCCAGGCGACGGUUGUCCUGGUGAAAGUGCGUAGGUGGUGUUUCUAGGCAAAUCCGGAGACACAACACUGAGACACGAGACGAACACACUACGGUGUGGAAGCCAUUGAUGCCCUGCUUCCAGGAAAAGCCUCUAAGCUUCAGAUUACAAGUCAUCGUACCCCAAACCGACACAGGUGGUCGGGUAGAGAAUACCAAGGCGCUUGAGAGAACUCGGGUGAAGGAACUAGGCAAAAUAGAACCGUAACUUCGGGAGAAGGUUCGCUCUUGACAGUGAAGUCCCUUGCGGAUGGAGCAGUUGGGAGUCGCAGUGACCAGAUGGCUGGGACUGUUUAUCAAAAACACAGCACUCUGCAAACACGAAAGUGGACGUAUAGGGUGUGACACCUGCCCGGUGCCGGAAGGUUAAUUGAUGGGGUUAGCGCAAGCGAAGCUCUUGAUCGAAGCCCCGGUAAACGGCGGCCGUAACUAUAACGGUCCUAAGGUAGCGAAAUUCCUUGUCGGGUAAGUUCCGACCUGCACGAAUGGUGUAACCAUGGCCAUGCUGUCUCCACCCGAGACUCAGUGAAAUCGAAUUCGCCGUGAAGAUGCGGUGUACCCGCGGCUAGACGGAAAGACCCCGUGAACCUUUACUACAGCUUGGCACUGAACAUUGAACCUACAUGUGUAGGAUAGGUGGGAGGCUUUGAAGGCGUGACGCCAGUUGCGCUGGAGCCGUCCUUGAAAUACCACCCUUGUAUGUUUGAUGUUCUAACGCAGGCCCGUGAAUCCGGGUCGCGGACAGUGCCUGGUGGGUAGUUUGACUGGGGCGGUCUCCUCCCAAAGAGUAACGGAGGAGCACGAAGGUUGGCUAAUCCUGGUCGGACAUCAGGAGGUUAGUGCAAUGGCAUAAGCCAGCUUAACUGCGAGACGGACAGGUCGAGCAGGUACGAAAGUAGGUCAUAGUGAUCCGGUGGUUCUGAAUGGAAGGGCCAUCGCUCAACGGAUAAAAGGUACUCCGGGGAUAACAGGCUGAUACCGCCCAAGAGUUCAUAUCGACGGCGGUGUUUGGCACCUCGAUGUCGGCUCAUCACAUCCUGGGGCUGAAGUCGGUCCCAAGGGUAUGGCUGUUCGCCAUUUAAAGUGGUACGCGAGCUGGGUUCAGAACGUCGUGAGACAGUUCGGUCCCUAUCUGCCGUGGGCGUUGGAUGAUUGAAGGGAGUUGCUCCUAGUACGAGAGGACCGGAGUGAACGAACCUCUGGUGUUCGGGUUGUCACGCCAGUGGCACUGCCCGGUAGCUAAGUUCGGAAUCGAUAACCGCUGAAAGCAUCUAAGCGGGAAGCGAGCCCUGAGAUGAGUCAUCCCUGACCCCUUGAGGGUCCUAAAGGGCCGUUGGAGACCACAACGUUGAUAGGUGGGGUGUGUAAGCGCGGCGACGUGUUGAGCUAACCCAUACUAAUUACCCGUGAGGCUUAACCAUACAACACCCAAGAAGUGUU